UAGCUAGUUGGUGAGGUAAAGGCUUACCAAGGCGACGAUCUGUAGCGGGUCUGAGAGGAUGAUCCGCCACACUGGAACUGAGACACGGUCCAGACUCCUACGGGAGGCAGCAGUGGGGAAUUUUGGACAAUGGGGGCAACCCUGAUCCAGCCAUGCCGCGUGAGUGAAGAAGGCCUUCGGGUUGUAAAGCUCUUUCGGCCGGGAAGAAAUCGCAUGGGCCAAUACCCUGUGUGGAUGACGGUACCGGAAUAAGAAGCACCGGCUAACUACGUGCCAGCAGCCGCGGUAAUACGUAGGGUGCGAGCGUUAAUCGGAAUUACUGGGCGUAAAGCGUGCGCAGGCGGUUUUGUAAGACAGGCGUGAAAUCCCCGGGCUUAACCUGGGAACUGCGUUUGUGACUGCAAGGCUAGAGUACGGCAGAGGGGGGUGGAAUUCCACGUGUAGCAGUGAAAUGCGUAGAGAUGUGGAGGAACACCAAUGGCGAAGGCAGCCCCCUGGGUCGAUACUGACGCUCAUGCACGAAAGCGUGGGUAGCAAACAGGAUUAGAUACCCUGGUAGUCCACGCCCUAAACUAUGUCAACUAGGUGUUGGGUGGGUAAAACCAUUUAGUACCGUAGCUAACGCGUGAAGUUGACCGCCUGGGGAGUACGGCCGCAAGGUUAAAACUCAAAGGAAUUGACGGGGACCCGCACAAGCGGUGGAUGAUGUGGAUUAAUUCGAUGCAACGCGAAAAACCUUACCUACCCUUGACAUGCCAGGAACUUGCCAGAGAUGGCUUGGUGCCCGAAAGGGAGCCUGGACACAGGUGCUGCAUGGCUGUCGUCAGCUCGUGUCGUGAGAUGUUGGGUUAAGUCCCGCAACGAGCGCAACCCUUGUCGUUAAUUGCCAUCAUUUAGUUGGGCACUUUAACGAGACUGCCGGUGACAAACCGGAGGAAGGUGGGGAUGACGUCAAGUCCUCAUGGCCCUUAUGGGUAGGGCUUCACACGUCAUACAAUGGUCGGUACAAAGGGUUGCCAAGCCGCGAGGCGGAGCCAAUCCCAGAAAGCCGAUCGUAGUCCGGAUUGCAGGCUGCAACUCGCCUGCAUGAAGUCGGAAUCGCUAGUAAUCGUGGAUCAGCAUGUCACGGUGAAUACGUUCCCGGGUCUUGUACACACCGCCCGUCACACCAUGGGAGCGGGUUCCGCCAGAAGUAGGUUGCCUAACCGCAAGGGGGGCGCUUACCACGGCGGGGUUCGUGACUGGGGUGAAGUCGGAACAAGGUAGCCGUAGGGGAACCUGCGGCUG
Molecule: ribosomal RNA, 1287 nt
Filed under: metagenome
Description: bacterial SSU rRNA
Rfam family: Bacterial small subunit ribosomal RNA
Source: RNAcentral